RNAcentral lists this transfer RNA (74 nucleotides) under Alphaproteobacteria bacterium. RNAcentral describes it as "tRNA-Cys". It matches the Rfam family "tRNA". Rfam says of the family: Transfer RNA (tRNA) molecules are approximately 80 nucleotides in length. Their secondary structure includes four short double-helical elements and three loops (D, anti-codon, and T loops). Lineage: Bacteria; Pseudomonadati; Pseudomonadota; Alphaproteobacteria. The record is from RNAcentral.
GGCCCGGUGGCGGAAAGAAUACGCACAGCACUGCAACUGCUGUCAUGCUGGUUCAAUUCCAGCCCGGGCCUCCA